CGGACGGGUGAGUAAUACUUAGGAAUCUGCCCAUUAGUGGGGGACAACUAGAAGAAAUUCUAGCUAAUACCGCAUACGCCCUACGGGGGAAAGCGGGGGAUCUUCGGACCUCGCGCUAAUGGAUGAGCCUAAGUCGGGUUAGCUUGUUGGUGAGGUAAUGGCUCACCAAGGCGACGAUCCGUAGCUGGUCUGAGAGGACGAUCAGCCACACUGGGACUGAGACACGGCCCAG
RNAcentral lists this ribosomal RNA (232 nucleotides) under uncultured bacterium. RNAcentral's name for it is "partial 16S ribosomal RNA". It matches the Rfam family "Bacterial small subunit ribosomal RNA", at positions 99 to 334 of the family's 1533-position model. The record is from RNAcentral.